This 261-nucleotide long non-coding RNA is filed under the name Setaria italica (foxtail millet). Its description in RNAcentral is "long non-coding RNA (SITA_LNC002280)". Lineage: Eukaryota; Viridiplantae; Streptophyta; Magnoliopsida; Poales; Poaceae. The record is from RNAcentral.
UUGAUGCUUGUCUCUAACUAUUUGAUAACCAUGUUUGAUUAGAGUAAGUUGCUCACUUAUAAUGGUUAAUGAAGAUAGAACCUAUUCCGAAAACUUGAAAGUAAGGAUCAACCUUAGUUGCUUUUGGCAAAAACAAACCCACAACCAAAAAGCCUUGCAUGUCGUGGAGUAGACACCACCUGACGGGUAAGUCUUGUUGAGUAUUAGUAUACUCAGCCUUGCAUGUGGCUCUCUUUUUCAGGUGUUGUUGUUGACUUGGUU